CCUACGGGUGGCAGCAGUGGGGAAUAUUGGACAAUGGGCGAAAGCCUGAUCCAGCCAUGCCGCGUGUGUGAAGAAGGCCUUCGGGUUGUAAAGCACUUUCAGUGGGGAAGAAAGCCUUGGGGCUAAUACCCUCGAGGAAGGACAUCACCCACAGAAGAAGCACCGGCUAACUCCGUGCCAGCAGCCGCGGUAAUACGGAGGGUGCGAGCGUUAAUCGGAAUUACUGGGCGUAAAGCGCGCGUAGGCGGUCUGAUAAGCCGGUUGUGAAAGCCCCGGGCUCAACCUGGGAACGGCAUCCGGAACUGUCAGGCUAGAGUGCAGGAGAGGAAGGUAGAAUUCCCGGUGUAGCGGUGAAAUGCGCAGAGAUCGGGAGGAAUACCAGUGGCGAAGGCGGCCUUCUGGACUGACACUGACGCUGAGGUGCGAAAGCGUGGGUAGCAAACAGGAUUAGAUACCCGUGUAGUC
RNAcentral lists this ribosomal RNA (465 nucleotides) under Vreelandella stevensii. Its description in RNAcentral is "partial 16S ribosomal RNA". It matches the Rfam family "Bacterial small subunit ribosomal RNA", at positions 338 to 795 of the family's 1533-position model. The record is from RNAcentral. Lineage: Bacteria; Pseudomonadati; Pseudomonadota; Gammaproteobacteria; Oceanospirillales; Halomonadaceae.